GAUCAUGGCUCAGGAUGAACGCUAGCUACAGGCUUAACACAUGCAAGUCGAGGGGCAGCAUGGUCUUAGCUUGCUAAGGCCGAUGGCGACCGGCGCACGGGUGAGUAACGCGUAUCCAACCUGCCUUACACUCUUGGACAGCCUUCUGAAAGGGAGAUUAAUACAAGGUGUUAUCAUGAGUAAGCAUUUUCGUCAUGAUUAAAGGUUUACCGGUGUAAGAUGGGGAGUGCGUUCCA
RNAcentral lists this ribosomal RNA (236 nucleotides) under uncultured bacterium. RNAcentral describes it as "partial 16S ribosomal RNA". It matches the Rfam family "Bacterial small subunit ribosomal RNA", at positions 15 to 240 of the family's 1533-position model. The record is from RNAcentral.